CACGUAGGGCGCAAGCGUUGUCCGGAAUUAUUGGGCGUAAAGAGCUCGUAGGCGGUCUGUUGCGUCCGCUGUGAAAACUCGGGGCUUAACCCCGAGCCUGCAGUGGAUACGGGCAGACUAGAGGUAGGUAGGGGAGAAUGGAAUUCCCGGUGUAGCGGUGAAAUGCGCAGAUAUCGGGAGGAACACCGGUGGCGAAGGCGGUUCUGCUGGGACGGUACUGACGCUGAGACGCGAAAGCGUGGGGAGCGAACAGG
RNAcentral lists this ribosomal RNA (254 nucleotides) under uncultured bacterium. Its description in RNAcentral is "partial 16S ribosomal RNA". It matches the Rfam family "Bacterial small subunit ribosomal RNA", at positions 524 to 776 of the family's 1533-position model. The record is from RNAcentral.